This 468-nucleotide ribosomal RNA is filed under the name uncultured bacterium. Its description in RNAcentral is "partial 16S ribosomal RNA". It matches the Rfam family "Bacterial small subunit ribosomal RNA", at positions 28 to 507 of the family's 1533-position model. The record is from RNAcentral.
GACGAACGCUGGCGGCGUGCUUAACACAUGCAAGUCGAACGGAAAGGCCCUGCUUUUGCGGGGUGCUCGAGUGCCGAAGGGGUGAGUAACACGUGAGUAACCUGUCCUUGACUUUGGGAUAACUUUAGGAAAAUGGGGCUAAUAUCGGAUAGGAGCUCCUGCACCGUGGGGUGGGUUGGAAAGUUACGGCUGUUGGGGAUGGGUUGGCGGCUUAUCAGCUUGUUGGUGGGGUAGUGGAUGACCAAGGCUAUGACGGGUAGCCGGCCUGAGAGGUGGACCGGGCACCAGGGGACUACGAGACGCAGCAGAAUCCAACGGGAGGCAGCAGUCGGGAGUUUGACGCAAUGGGCGGAAGCCUGAUGCAGCAACGCCGCGUGCGUGAUGACGGCCUUCGGGGUGUAAACCGCUUUCGCCUGAGACGAGGCGUGAGUGACGGUAAUUAGUAAAGAAGCACCGGCUAACUACGUG